Molecule: long non-coding RNA, 2130 nt
Organism: Mirounga angustirostris (Northern elephant seal)
Lineage: Eukaryota; Metazoa; Chordata; Mammalia; Carnivora; Phocidae
Exons: 3
Source: RefSeq, a predicted model, not a curated record
CCGUGACGUCAAGACACCGGGCGCGCAUGCGUGGCGGGCUCUCCUGCGCGGCCGAAGGGGCCUAGAACCGGAAAGGCUCUGGCGGCCCUGCAGCCUUGCUGGGGAGUGUUGGCAGUCAGGCUUCCAGACGGCCGGGUUUGCUGUGGAUAAAAGAGCUAGACUGAAGGAUGAGACGACCGUUUUACAGUGCUCUUAAAACAGGAGAUGAUCAUUGUGUUGGAGCUCUGUGAUGGAGGAGGAAAGCAGUAAAACAUGAGGUUUGGAAAGUCAUUUCAGUCUGCUCCCAUACUUAAAUAGUUUCAAGCCUCUGGAAGGAACUGAACAAUGUGAACAAGUCUGGUGAUGAAGCACAGAUUAAGUCCUUCAAAUAUCUUAAUUUCACAGUCCUUUGUCCCAUAUAAUAGAUGUAAGAAGCACCAAAACUGGAGCCAAGAUCUGAACAGGUAAUGUAACAGCAGGAACUAUAAUUUAAUCACAUCAUAUCAUAUUACACUUAUGUAACAUUCUAUAUUUUGCCUGUUGAUAUGUAACAUAGUUAAGUUUAUUACAAGCAUUAUUUCCUAAGACUUACGGUAGAAGUACUUCUUUUCAAGUAUUACCGCUUAUUUAAUAGUGUUUAUCUAUUUCUUAACAUUAAUCAGUGAUAAAUGUAUAUUAUGCGAUACACAUUGUGCCAUUUCUCCCUACCCUGUGUUAUUAACAAAAUCAAUUAAGAAAACCAAAACAUUAAAACUGAAACAAGGCUAUCAACAUCACAGAUGCAUGUCUGAGUAGGUCAACAGCAUUUCCCCCUUAACAUGAAGGUAUUUUCAUCAAAAAUGCUUCUUAUUUUUAGGCUAGUAUUACUUUAGCAGCAGCUGGUCUUCAGGACAAGUGGAUCAGAAGUUUCAAGUGAAAAUGACACUGAAUUACUCUGAGAAAACAUCAAUCCACAUUACUAAUGAAAGAUGCAAACUGCUGGUGUCACCGUAACAUAAAAAUUGUGUUUUCCCUUUCAACAUGUGAUUUAUUUCAUUUAUGUGAUGACAAUACUUUGGAGUUCUCAUGGCACAACCAAUGAGAUUAUUUGUUUUCAUAUUUAAAUUCUAACUACAAUAACUAGAAAAAAAGUCAGUGCCUCAGUGGCUUUAAACCACAUCAAUUUCAAUGUUUUUCAAAAUGAUGAUGCAAUUAAAUCUAUGCUUCUGCAACAAUAGUGCAAUACAAUAUCCUCUCCUGAAUACAGGAGCUGAGGUUUAUCCAAGUAGAAGCUUUAAAUAAGGUAGAUUGUUGCCAAAUAUGUAUCAGUCUCGCAUGUUUGAUAUAACAUGUAUUAGGAAAGCUAAAACUGACUUGUAAUCUAUACUCAGCUAAAGCUUCACAUAAGCAGCAAUGGAAAUGAACAGAGGUGCACUCAAUAUAAAACACUUUUCAAAACUACUCCAAAAAACAAAUGACAAAAAGUGGUUAAAGAACAACUGAACAUAUGUUGUGUGUACCACAUGUAAAAGGAAGAAUGGACCUUGUGGUUGCUUGCACUGUUUGAAUUAUGUGAAGGUAAAUUUAAGACUUAGUCCACUUCCAUCUCUCCAGAAGAUUUAGUAUGCUGGGAGCUGUCUUUUGUUGUAUCUGGUUUAGUUUCAGUCCCACUCUGUCCAUCCAUUGGUCCAUUGUGUUCACUAUUAGCUUUUGCUUUGUCUUCAGCAACCUCUACUUUCGGUUUGGGCUUGUAAAUGAUGGGGUUACAGAAAUUAUCCAGUUCCUAAAGACAUGAAGAAAAGUGAUUAUUUUAAAAAUACUACAGAAUAAGUUAUCAUUAACUUUCUAAAUUUCCACAUUAAUAGGACAUUCCUGAAUUUAUGUUAGCUCAGUCAGAAAACCAAGUUUCUUCAAAUACGUCAAUGAAGCAUUUACUUCAGGGUUAGUGCAUGUUAGUGUUGACAACGAACUCUUCAAUCUUUAAUAAAUUCUUUGUAUCUAAUUUUCCUAAAACCUGGUUCCUCAUAAUUUUCUUGUUUUCUUGGGCAGAAAUAAUUUUUAAUUCAUUCCUUUAAAUUAUGCCUAAUGCUCUGAGAAUUAUGUCAAAUAACACCUAUCUCAUAAAUUGAUAUUUACAUGAAAACAGCUUUAAUAAGUGGAAUUGUAGAACUA